CACGUAGGGCGCGAGCGUUGUCCGGAAUUAUUGGGCGUAAAGAGCUCGUAGGCGGCCUGUUGCGUCCGCUGUGAAAGCCCGGGGCUUAACCCCGGGUCGGCAGUGGAUACUGGCAGGCUAGAGGUAGGUAGGGGAGAAUGGAAUUCCCGGUGUAGCGGUGAAAUGCGCAGAUAUCAGGAGGAACACCGAUGGCGAAGGCGGGUCUCUGGGCCGAUACUGACGCUGAGGAGCGAAAGCGUGGGGAGCGAACAGG
This 253-nucleotide ribosomal RNA is filed under the name uncultured bacterium. RNAcentral describes it as "partial 16S ribosomal RNA". It matches the Rfam family "Bacterial small subunit ribosomal RNA", at positions 524 to 776 of the family's 1533-position model. The record is from RNAcentral.